RNAcentral lists this ribosomal RNA (1072 nucleotides) under Streptococcus sanguinis. RNAcentral's name for it is "bacterial SSU rRNA". It matches the Rfam family "Bacterial small subunit ribosomal RNA", at positions 8 to 1088 of the family's 1533-position model. The record is from RNAcentral. Lineage: Bacteria; Bacillati; Bacillota; Bacilli; Lactobacillales; Streptococcaceae.
AGAGUUUGAUCAUGGCUCAGAUUGAACGCUGGCGGCAGGCCUAACACAUGCAAGUCGAACGGUAACAGGAAGCAGCUUGCUGCUUUGCUGACGAGUGGCGGACGGGUGAGUAAUGUCUGGGAAACUGCCUGAUGGAGGGGGAUAACUACUGGAAACGGUAGCUAAUACCGCAUAACGUCGCAAGACCAAAGAGGGGGACCUUCGGGCCUCUUGCCAUCGGAUGUGCCCAGAUGGGAUUAGCUAGUAGGUGGGGUAACGGCUCACCUAGGCGACGAUCCCUAGCUGGUCUGAGAGGAUGACCAGCCACACUGGAACUGAGACACGGUCCAGACUCCUACGGGAGGCAGCAGUGGGGAAUAUUGCACAAUGGGCGCAAGCCUGAUGCAGCGACGCCGCGUGGGGGAUGACGGCCUUCGGGUUGUAAACUCCUUUCACCAUCGACGAAGGGUUUCUGACGGUAGAUGGAGAAGAAGCACCGGCUAACUACGUGCCAGCAGCCGCGGUAAUACGUAGGGUGCGAGCGUUGUCCGGAAUUACUGGGCGUAAAGAGCUCGUAGGUGGUUUGUCGCGUCGUCUGUGAAAUUCCGGGGCUUAACUCCGGGCGUGCAGGCGAUACGGGCAUAACUUGAGUACUGUAGGGGAGACUGGAAUUCCUGGUGUAGCGGUGAAAUGCGCAGAUAUCAGGAGGAACACCGAUGGCGAAGGCAGGUCUCUGGGCAGUAACUGACGCUGAGGAGCGAAAGCAUGGGUAGCGAACAGGAUUAGAUACCCUGGUAGUCCAUGCCGUAAACGGUGGGCGCUAGGUGUGGGUUUCCUUCCACGGGAUCCGUGCCGUAGCUAACGCAUUAAGCGCCCCGCCUGGGGAGUACGGCCGCAAGGCUAAAACUCAAAGGAAUUGACGGGGGCCCGCACAAGCGGCGGAGCAUGUGGAUUAAUUCGAUGCAACGCGAAGAACCUUACCUGGGCUUGACAUACACCAGAUUGCUGCAGAGAUGUAGUGUCCCUUGUGGUUGGUGUACAGGUGGUGCAUGGUUGUCGUCAGCUCGUGUCGUGAGAUGUUGGGUUAAGUCCC